Molecule: RNA transcript, 1064 nt
Organism: Cotesia glomerata
Lineage: Eukaryota; Metazoa; Arthropoda; Insecta; Hymenoptera; Braconidae
Gene: PIG-X
Exons: 6
Source: RefSeq, a predicted model, not a curated record
UUAUUAUAACUUUGUGUUAGUAAAUAACCAAAAAUAAAUAAAAAAAAAAAUGUACGCUCGAAAUAUUAUAGCUAUAUUUAUUUAUUUAAAUAUUUUAAAUACCAUUUAUUGUGACUCGAACGUUCAAGUUAAUUUUCACGUUGAUGGAAAUGGAUUUCACAGAACAAUUAAUUAUGAAGUAGAAGCGAAAAAAUACAUAAACUACGACUGUCAUGUCGCGCUAUAUUUAGAAUUACCUCGAGAACUGUAUGUCAACAUUGAUGAGCUAGCUGAUUUACAACGAUUCACGAAUAUUCGAGCGUGCGCAGUCGGAGAAACAAACGUCGAAUUAUUCGCUGAAGAAGCUAAACCGCAAAGAGUAUCAAUUUGCACAGCUUUGAAUUUUGACGCGACGACGUUAAACUUGACGAUUCAUCAGCGGUACCAGCGUGCCAAAGAAAAAGAAGAUUAUGCCAAUGUUAUUUUACCAUUCCCUAAGCUUUUGCUGGGGUGUAAAAAACGUAUCAAAGAGUACCAAGUUUCUUUGAUAGAUUUAUGUGAUUCCUGCGUAGAAUUAGCUACUAAAUGGCGGGAAAUUCCUUAUCAAACCGAAACCAAGGAAUACAUGUGGAUAAUACCGAUAGGAGAAUUGACUCACAGGUCCUACGUAACUUACAUUACAUUAUUUACAAGUGUAAUUGGGACUUUAAUCAUAUUUAAAGCUCUUUGUUCGGUAAAUCCUGGUGAUGACGUGAAAAAUGACUGAGGCACCCACUUAGACAAAAUAGUAUGCAUUGCCGGUGGAAUAACACCUUGACACGCCCCAGUCAGGACUCUCAAGACAAUAACAGCCUGCCAGCCUCCGUAAGUCGCCGCAGUCGGAAUUAAUAUCGUAACAACGCCGCAAAUUCCAACAGCAAAGCACAGAAAUCUCUGUGCUCCAAAUCUUUGAGCAAGUUCUCCACCAGGAGCAAGAAUAGCAACCACCGAAGCUAAACAAUUGGUGAUGGACAUAAGAACCCCGGCAAAGUUUGGGCUUAAAUCAAUGUGAUUAAGUUGGAAUCCACAAAGUGUACCAACGUUGA